RNAcentral lists this ribosomal RNA (665 nucleotides) under Chaenothecopsis hunanensis. RNAcentral describes it as "LSU rRNA". It matches the Rfam family "Eukaryotic large subunit ribosomal RNA", at positions 223 to 905 of the family's 3401-position model. Lineage: Eukaryota; Fungi; Ascomycota; Eurotiomycetes; Mycocaliciales; Mycocaliciaceae. The record is from RNAcentral.
GUGACCGGAUCAGGCACCUUCUGUAAAGCUCCUUCGACCAGUCGAGUUGUUUGGGAAUGCAACUCUAAAUGGGAGGUAAAUUUCUUCUAAAGCUAAAUACUGNCGAGAGACCGAUAGCGCACAAGUAGAGUGAUCGAAAGAUGAAAAGUACUUUGGAAAGAGAGUUAAAAAGCACGUGAAAUUGUUGAAAGGGAAGCGCUUGCAAUCAGACUUGGCCUCGGUUGUUCAACCGGUCUUUUGACCGGCCUAUUCAAUCGGGGGCAGGCCAGCAUCAGUUUUGGCGGCCGGAUAAAGGCCUUGGGAAUGUGGCCUCUCCUCCGGGGGAGGUGUUAUAGCCCAGGGUGUAAUACGGUCAGCCGGGACUGAGGUCCGCGCUUCGGCUAGGAUGCUGGCGUAAUGGUUGUAAGCGNCCCGUCUUGAAACACGGACCANGGAGUCUAACAUNUAUGNGAGUGUUAGGGUGUCAAACCCUUACGCGUAAUGAAAGUGAACGGAGGUGGGAACCCGCAAGGGUGCACCAUCGACCGAUCCUGAUGUCUUCGGAUGGAUUUGAGUAAGAGCAUAGCUGUUGGGACCCGAAAGAUGGUGAACUAUGCCUGAAUAGGGUGAAGCCAGAGGAAACUCUGGUGGAGGCUCGCAGCGGUUCUGACGUGCAAAUCGAUCGU